CCCACCAGCGUCAAAAGCAAUUUUGAUGGCUUGGUAAACCUCGCGGGAUGAAAUGCCAUGUAGGCUGGCGCUUGAAGACGGCUCGUCUGAGCCAGCGGGUAGGCAGAUAGAGCAGUUGGGUGACCAAUUGCCCAGAUCAAUGGCAAGGGCGCGCCGCAAGGCGCGAACAGAAUCCGGCUUACAGGACGAUAUGCUUU
This 197-nucleotide RNase P RNA is filed under the name Bacteroidota bacterium. RNAcentral's name for it is "Bacteroidetes bacterium (freshwater metagenome) partial RNase P RNA component class A". It matches the Rfam family "Bacterial RNase P class A", at positions 174 to 367 of the family's 367-position model. From Rfam's summary of the family: Ribonuclease P (RNase P) is a ubiquitous endoribonuclease, found in archaea, bacteria and eukarya as well as chloroplasts and mitochondria. Its best characterised activity is the generation of mature 5'-ends of tRNAs by cleaving the 5'-leader elements of precursor-tRNAs. Lineage: Bacteria; Pseudomonadati; Bacteroidota. The record is from RNAcentral.